This is a long non-coding RNA of Cyprinus carpio (common carp), 4685 nucleotides long. RefSeq lists it as uncharacterized. Lineage: Eukaryota; Metazoa; Chordata; Actinopteri; Cypriniformes; Cyprinidae. The record is from RefSeq and is a predicted model, not a curated record.
CUCUCACACACACUCUCUCUCCAAACACUCUCUCUCUCCUCCUCUGCCUCUCUCUCUCCCUGUCUGUCUCUCCCUCCCUCGGCUUCACUCGCUCUUGUGCUGUAAGUUCAUUUGCUGUGUCAAGCAACAACUGGCUCGGGAGUGGGCAUUGGGUUUUGAUCCUUUUGUCAAGCGUCCCCUCUGCGAUGUGUACCGCAUCCACCUGCACACCACGGGACUGGCCGCCUGGCUCUCUCUAACGUUGCCGUACCGUCCUGGGUUUAUCACGAUUGGGCAUCCCACCUUGCUGAAACGGGUGGUACAAUGAGAUGCUGAAGGUUUGACGGGGUGAACCUGCUACUGUGGACUAUCACCAUCAUCAUCAGAAUCAUCACAGUGGCAAUGGGAGUCAGGACAUGGACACUCGCUGGAGGACCUCCGCAGGGUCCAUGCAUCCCAGACGAGCCGUUGAGAAGCCCUUGCCUUGCGCUACAAAGCGUCUUCAAUCAAUUGUUUUGAAAAGGCCUUUCCGUUUUCUGACGAUGCCGGCGGUUCUGUUGUUUCUCUCUGUAAAAGACUCUCUUCGGUGACGGGUAUUCUUGGGUGGAUAAUACGGCUCUCGUUGUUAUUGCUUAAGAAUACGCGUAGUCGAGGAGAGUCAUGUCGGCGGCGACUGCAAUGGACUAGAGAGAGCGUUGAAUCCAGAAGGCCCAUCUGCCUGCACACACACAUGCGUUUGCUAACGCCGAGGUUCACGCCCACAUCCAUUUAUUGAGUCAGCGAAGCUGCAUUUCCUGUCUGUGUGUGAUGCUUGUGCUGUUGAUUUAUCCGGCUACUCCUGCUACACAUCUUUUCAGCCAGCGGAAAGGAAAAACUGGGGGUUUUUUGAUUCGCCGUCUUCCCCCCAAAGGCUGUAUAUUGUAACGUCUCAGGCGGAGUUGUAGAUGCAAAUGUGUUCGGUUUGUGCCAUAUAUAUACAUUCUUUUCUCAGGACCGCACACACUCUACCUUUUUAAUGCAAAUUGAUUUUGAAAUGACAUUUAUCGUGCAGGGUUUCCAUAUGGAGCUCCAGGAGGGAUGCAAGGGGAAAAAAUGGAAUGAAAUGUCCACGAAGCCACUGAGAGCUAAAUUUAUGCGGAUUGUAAAGGAACACACUGCAGAUAAACAGUUACCAUGGCUUUAGAUUGACUGCGGCGUGGCAUGCGUAUAUCAUGAAUAUGUAUCAGGAGAGCAUAUGAUGCUGCAUUCUAACCUCCAUGAAAUCCAUUUAGGAAACCUAACAGGAUCUACUUGACUUAUGAAAGCUUAUGAUCAAAUCUUAUAAAUAUCCAUGAGAUAGUUUCAUGUGAAAAAAGUAUUUUUUUGCCUUUUAUAUAGAUGUAUUUUGCAUACUAAUAGAUUGCAUUUCGGACCGGCUGUUGAUGUGUUGACGUGGACGAUUUGUAAAUCUGCAAACAUUUUAAUUUGUUCUUCAUUAUCAUUCGGCAGAUUUAAUUGAUGUAUUAGCAUUUCAGAUAGACUAAAGGCAACAAUCAGCCCGCUCUGUCCUUGAUCACCCUGUAAUUAUCGUUCUUUCGGCUAUGUGUUUAAAUGAGCAGAGAGAAAAGAGGUGUGGAGGAGGAAUAAUGUAAUGUUUUACCACUAGGGGACCCACACAACUGAAAAUCAGAUCAGUUGGUUAACUUUUUAAGUCAUUUUUAUGAUCAUUUUUAAGGUGUUUGGGGUGCAUAGGUUCAAAACUAAUAGAAAUAUCUGUUUAGAUGAAUACUUUUAGAUUUAACAGGUUUUGGCUACUUAAAAAAAAUGUUGUUUUUUAUUCUUAGCAUGUACACUUAAAAUAUAUGGCGUUUUAUUUAUUCCUUUAUUACUUAAUGCUCAACAGUGCCUUAGGAGUGACAAAUGUGAGAAGGGUCACAUGCAACCUUAACAAUUAUCUGUUAUAUUGUAUUAGAUUAACACAUUAAUAUUUUUUUUCACUAAAUAUUCUACCCUCUCAUAGUUUGUGAUGUCUGAAGCAUAUUGAUAGAAUUUCUCUCUGAAAUCAUUUUUAUUGAUGCUGUUGAGUAAAUAUCUCGCUGUAAACUCCUCGCACAGAUUAGCUUCCAUCUGUCUGUGGUUUAUGACGAGAUGAAAUUAUUCAGGCCUCUGCAGCUCAUCUUCAUUUGUUCUUUAUUGAAAUUAUUUUUAUGUGCACGUCAUCUUUGUUCCUCCCCCUCAUAUCAUAAAUAAAGCUUGAUUUAAGUAAAAUUAUGAUGCAUUUGUAUAUUUUGUCCUUUUAUAGGCGAAGAAUCGGUUUUAAAUGUAGGUCAUAAAUAUGCAAGCAAAAAACAAAAAUACAUUACAAACGAUAUUAAAAUAUACACCACAUACAAACAAAUCAUGAACAAUUUAACAGUGUUGUUAUGCUUCAAAAACAUAAUGUUGAGAUUCAUUAGAUUUUCUCUGGGAUAUUAUUUUCUUUUUUUUGACACCAUUGAGCCCUCAUUUCUUGUUGUUGUCUGAUCUUGUGGCAUUCGAUAGCUUGCGUUUUAUGUAGCAAGACAAAAUGUAGUCCCAAACAACAGAACACAGACAAAAUAGAUGUCUUUCUGGUCAUCACCACAUUCUUUAGAAUAAGACUGAGAUGUUUUUGUGACAGGACACAGCGUCCAUAACUCUAUAUUCGGAUUAUUCAGCUGUAGGAUCAAUGUUUCUGUUUAUGUCCCUGUGCUGCUCUCAGAAUGUUGAAUUCACUUAGUCUCAAAAGCCCUUAUUUACAGGAACAUUUUCUCUGCAGUAACUUUAAUUAAUUCAAAAGGAUUUGAGAUAUUGACAAGAAGUGGAGCACGUUUGUCCCAUUUUGUCCCAUCAAAGGGAAGCUGAAGUAUGUAAGCUUUAUAAACAUUUAAGGUAUGAAUUAUUCAUUUAUUCACAUGACUACAAUCUACUGUUUACUCUUGAUUAAUUCAGUUUAUGGAGUAUGAGAAUUGUAUUUUCUUGCUUUGUAUAAUGAAUAUUCAUUCAACUAAUUAGUUUACCCUUUGUGGUUGUAUGGGUUGGUAUUUAAACCCAGCUCAAAGGGUUAUUUUUUAUAGGCUCAGCAUUUUUAAGUCUGCUCCUUUAUAAGAUUUCCCUCAUACAUGAUGUCAUGAUAUUCUAUAAUCCCCUGACUUCUCUCAAGACCAUAAUGCUUUUCACCAAAAAUAUGAUCAGUGGCAUUAGUCAACUGAAAUUGUGCUGUAUUAGCAUAUGUUUCCCUCAAUACAGGAAAUGGAAGUUAUUCGACAAGUCAAAAGUUUGGACACACUUGACUGAAUUGUGAUUAUUGUGGUUUUGAAAGCCUUUUGAAUAAUGUAUAUAUAAAUAUAUAUAUAUAUAUAUAUAAACAUGAUUAACAUGAAUUUACCAUUUUUUUAUGGUUAAACCGGGCCAUGGUGAAGAAAAAGUUGCCAAAAAGUGUCCAAUGUUGCUUGAAAAAGCAUGUGAAACUGAUUGACUAAAUGAAGGAUGAACUUUAAAUUCCUAUACAAGUUAAAAAUCAUUUUUCAAAGUUGUAAAUAAAAAUAGUGUACACAAUUCAGUGUACACUCUUAAAAUUUAAAGGUUCUUUAUUAGCAUUGACAGAUCCAUGAAGAACCUUUAAAAACCUUGGAACCUUAAUAUUGCACAUGAAACCUUUAUUUUUAUUAGUGCAUGUGUUAAUUUAGUCAUUGAUUACUAUUGUUCUAAAGUGUGGAAAAUAAUUUAAAAAUGAGUAGGUGUGUCCACAUUUUUGACUGGCGAUGUUGCUACAAUUUCAAAACAUUGUGACCUUUUAGCCUCACAACCUCUUAAACAGACAACUUUCCUACCUCUAAACCUCACCUCUCAGGCCUGUUGGGUUUCACAGCAUGUCCAUUUCUUAUGGAGAGCUGAUACAGGCCACUAAGCCUCAUUACAUUAAUUACAAUCCUGCUCUGUAUUCCUCCAUACGUGUGAGGCCGGUUAUCGCGUGUAUCGUUUCAAAGAAUAAUUUCAGGCAGGAGGUGAAGCACGUUGAGCUAGUGAAGUCUAACUGGCAAAUAUCUUUAAUAAGGUUAAACUAUGGAUGGGCUUUAGGUUGGUUUAAAUAGGCGCCUAUGAAAUCAGUGGCUCGCUGAUAGAGGCUUAGCAAUCUAUUUAAAAAUCAAUUUAUUUCCACAGUAUUGGAGCUGGCUCAGAUUGAACGCCAGAGUGAGAUCCUCCACUUCCAAAUUCUCAGUGGACACCUCUCAUCCCAUUCUGGUGCAAUCGUUCUCUCUCUCUCUUCAUCUCCUCCCCUUUAUCGCUUCUCUCUUCACAAACUCUGGUGAUUUAUAUUCCUCCAAGAGUGUUUGGUAAAAACCCUUUCAGCCUGAAAAAUCCCCAACGGUGUCAAAAUCACAGACUAUACUAGAAAACACAGUUAAGGGCUUUCACUGAGAGUAGGAAAUUAAAUAUUAGACACAAAAGGCAUAAAAUCCAGUAUUUUUUAUCUUGUUUUAUAUAUUGGACACAAAUGGUGUUUGUUUUUGAAGUAAAAAUCAUUUUCUUAAUCAAAUUUUUUUUUUUUUUUUUUGGUAAAAUAUCUUAAUAUCCUUAAAACCACAUAUAUUUACUUGAAGCAAUAUUGCAUAUUUACACUUUGGCAAACUGUCUUGUCUUUUCAGAUUGUUUUAAGAAAAAAAAAUUAACAAAAGAAAUGGGUAGAAAAACAACCUAUAUACAGU